RNAcentral lists this ribosomal RNA (253 nucleotides) under uncultured bacterium. RNAcentral's name for it is "partial 16S ribosomal RNA". It matches the Rfam family "Bacterial small subunit ribosomal RNA", at positions 524 to 776 of the family's 1533-position model. The record is from RNAcentral.
GACGGAGGGUGCUAGCGUUGUUCGGAAUUACGGGGCGUAAAGGGCGCGUAGGCGGCCUGGUCAGUCGGAUGUGAAAGCCCGGGGCUCAACCCCGGAACGGCAUCCGAGACGGCCAGGCUGGAGACCGGGAGAGGAGAGUGGAAUAGCCAGUGUAGAGGUGAAAUUCGUAGAUAUUGGCUGGAACACCAGUGGCGAAGGCGGCUCACUGGCCCGAUACUGACGCUGAGGCACGAAAGCGUGGGGAGCAAACAGG